GACGAACGCUGGCGGCGUGCUUAACACAUGCAAGUCGAACGGAAAGGCCCUGCUUUUGUGGGGUGCUCGAGUGGCGAACGGGUGAGUAACACGUGAGUAACCUGCCCUUGACUUUGGGAUAACUUCAGGAAACUGGGGCUAAUACCGGAUAGGAGCUCCUGCUGCAUGGUGGGGGUUGGAAAGUUUCGGCGGUUGGGGAUGGACUCGCGGCUUAUCAGCUUGUUGGUGGGGUAGUGGCUUACCAAGGCUUUGACGGGUAGCCGGCCUGAGAGGGUGACCGGCCACAUUGGGACUGAGAUACGGCCCAGACUCCUACGGGAGGCAGCAGUGGGGAGUAUUGCACAAUGGGCGGAAGCCUGAUGCAACAACGCCGCGUGCGGGAUGACGGCCUUCGGGUUGUAAACCGCUUUCGCCUGUGACGAAGCGUGAGUGACGGUAAUGGGUAAAGAAGCACCGGCUAACUACGUG
This 468-nucleotide ribosomal RNA is filed under the name uncultured bacterium. RNAcentral describes it as "partial 16S ribosomal RNA". It matches the Rfam family "Bacterial small subunit ribosomal RNA", at positions 28 to 507 of the family's 1533-position model. The record is from RNAcentral.